Molecule: transfer RNA, 84 nt
Filed under: Sphaerodactylus townsendi
Lineage: Eukaryota; Metazoa; Chordata; Lepidosauria; Squamata; Sphaerodactylidae
Description: tRNA-Ala
Rfam family: tRNA
About the family: Transfer RNA (tRNA) molecules are approximately 80 nucleotides in length.
Source: RNAcentral
GGAGCCAUGGCUCAGUGGUACAGCAUCUGCUUUGCACGCAGAAGGUCCCUGCUUUGCACGCAGGUUCAAUCCCUGGUAAUGCCA